CCGUGCUAGGCGGGAAGGUAGCGGUGUCCUGUACUCGCAAUCCGCUCUAGCGAGGCUGAAUCCCCGCUCGAGGGGCGCGGCCUCUGAGGCCAGUACGCCGCUUUCGGGUGUCGAUGGCCAGGUC
This 124-nucleotide signal recognition particle RNA is filed under the name Actinomycetota bacterium. RNAcentral describes it as "partial signal recognition particle sRNA large type". It matches the Rfam family "Bacterial large signal recognition particle RNA", at positions 1 to 120 of the family's 256-position model. From Rfam's summary of the family: The signal recognition particle (SRP) is a universally conserved ribonucleoprotein involved in the co-translational targeting of proteins to membranes. Archaeal SRP consists of a 7S RNA and homologues of the eukaryotic SRP19 and SRP54 proteins. Lineage: Bacteria; Bacillati; Actinomycetota. The record is from RNAcentral.